This 378-nucleotide ribosomal RNA is filed under the name uncultured bacterium. Its description in RNAcentral is "bacterial SSU rRNA". It matches the Rfam family "Bacterial small subunit ribosomal RNA", at positions 335 to 711 of the family's 1533-position model. The record is from RNAcentral.
ACUCCUACGGGAGGCAGCAGUGGGGAAUAUUGCACAAUGGGCGAAAGCCUGAUGCAGCGACGCCGCGUGAGGGACGACGGCCUUCGGGUUGUAAACCUCUUUCAGUAGGGAACAAGGCAUCAUUUUUGUGGUGUUUGAGGGUACUUGCAGUAAGAAGCACCGGCUAACUACGUGCCAGCAGCCGCGGUAAUACGUAGGGUGCAAGCGUUAUCCGGGAAUUAUUGGGCGUAAAGAGCUCGUAGGCGGUUUGUCGCGUCUGUCGUGAAAGUCCGGGGCUCAACUCCGGAUCUGCGGUGGGUACGGGCAGACUAGAGUGAUGUAGGGGAGACUGGAUUCCUGGUGUACGGUGGAAUGCGGCAGAUAUCAGGAGGAACACCG